GAUGAACGCUGGCGGCAUGCCUAACACAUGCAAGUCGAACGGGAAGUGGUGUUUCGCUUGGCGGACGGGUGAGUAACGCGUAAGAACCUGCCCUUGGGAGGGGAACAACAGCUGGAAACGGUUGAGAAUACCCCGUAGGUUCAGGAGCAGAAGGUAGAAUCCGCCCGAGGAGGCGCUUGCGCUGGAUUUGUGAGUUGGUGAGGUAAUGGCUUACCAAGGGGAUGAUCAGUAGCUGGCCCGAGAGGAUGAUCCGCCACAGUGGGACUGAGAGAUGGGCCAGACUGGGACGGGAGGACGGCGCGGGGAACAUGGGGAGAUGGGAGAAAGGAAGAUUCAGCAAUGGGGGGUGGGUGAAGAAGGCAAUGCGGUGGGAAAGUAGUAGGCCUAGGGAUGAAGAACUGCUUUUCCAGAAGAAGAAGCAAUGACGGUAUCUGGGGAAUAAGCACCGGCUAACUCUGUG
This 460-nucleotide ribosomal RNA is filed under the name uncultured bacterium. Its description in RNAcentral is "partial 16S ribosomal RNA". It matches the Rfam family "Bacterial small subunit ribosomal RNA", at positions 28 to 507 of the family's 1533-position model. The record is from RNAcentral.